Molecule: ribosomal RNA, 396 nt
Filed under: Ebriida sp. TAGIRI1 lineage
Lineage: Eukaryota; Cercozoa; Thecofilosea
Description: partial small subunit ribosomal RNA
Rfam family: Eukaryotic small subunit ribosomal RNA
Source: RNAcentral
AUUCCAGCUCCAAUAGCGUAUAUUAAAGUUGUUGCAGUUAAAAAGCUCGUAGUUGGAUUUCUGGUCUGAUGCCCUGGCCCGCCUCAAUUUCGAGGUGAGUGCCGGCUGUGCGUCUACCAUCCUUCUAGAAAACGUUCCUACCCUUCACUGGGCCGGGUUCGCGAUCUAGAUCUUUUACUUUGAAAAAAUUAGAGUGUUUAAAGCAGGCUUUUGCUAUGAAUACAUUAGCAUGGAAUAAUAAUCUAGGACUUCGGUUCUAUUUUGUUGGUUUCUAGUACUGAAGUAAUGAUUGAUAGGGAUAGUUGGGGGUGCUAGUAUUGAGCGGCCAGAGGUGAAAUUCUUGGAUUCGCUCAAGACUAACUUAUGCGAAAGCAUUCACCAAGGAUGUCUUCAUUA